Long non-coding RNA from Hibiscus syriacus, 1311 nucleotides. RefSeq lists it as uncharacterized. The record is from RefSeq and is a predicted model, not a curated record. Lineage: Eukaryota; Viridiplantae; Streptophyta; Magnoliopsida; Malvales; Malvaceae. The transcript is spliced from 14 exons.
AAAUGUCAUAUCUGCUGCAAUUAAUCGUAAGUGUACCAUGCUUCAUCCUGGAUAUGGUUUCCUUACCGAGAACGCAGUUUUUUUAUAAAUGUGACGAGAUCAAAGGAUCAACUUUAUUGGGCCUAAUCCUGACAGUAUUCGUGUUAUGGGCGACAAAUCAACGGCCAGAGAAACAAUGAAGAAUGCGGGUGUUCCUACUGUUCCAGGAAGUGACGGAUUGUUACAGAGUACAGAGGAAGCGAUCAAGAUUGCCCAUGAGAUUGGCUUUCCUGUGAUGAUCAAGGGAACUGCCGGUGGUGGAGGGCGUGGAAUGCGUCUUUGCAAAAGAGCCUGAUGAAUUUGUGAAGUUACUGCAGCAAGCCAAAAGUGAAGCUGCAGCUGCAUUUGGAAACGAUUGAGUUUAUUUGGAGAAGUACAUUCAAAAUCCAACGCACAUCGAGUUCCAGGUUCUUGCAGAUAAAUAUGGUAAUGUUGUACACUUUGGUGAGCGAGACUGCAGCAUCCAGAGACGUAGCCAAAAACUUCUUGAAGAGGCUCCUUCUCCACCACUGACUCCUGAGUUGCGGAAGGCCAUGAGUGAUGCAGCAGUGGCUGCAGCAGUAUCUAUUGGUUACAUUGGUGUAGGAACUGUUGAGAUCCUUUUGGAUGAAAGAGGUUCCUUCUACUUCAUGGAAAUGAACACUCAAAUCCAAGUGGAGCAUCCUGUAACUGAAAUGAUUUCCUCUGUUGAUUGAAGAACAAAUUCGUGUAGCUAUGGGAGAAAAACUGCGGUACAAACAGGAAGAUAUUGUGCUCAGAGGGCAUUCUAUCGAAUGUCGUAUCAAUGCAGAAGAUGCUUUUAAAGGGUUUAGACCUGGACCAGGGAGAAUAACAUACUACUUGCCAUCUGGAGGCCCAUUUGUUCGAAUGGAUAGCCAUGUUUAUUCUGAUUAUGUUGUUCCUCCAAGCUAUGAUUCAUUACUUGGAAAGCUUAUCGUAUGGGCUCCAACAAGGGAAAAGAAAUUGAGCGCUUGAAAAGGGCUCUUGAUGACACUGUAAUUACAGGGGUUCCUACAACAAUUGAAUACCAUAAACUCAUUAUUGAUAUUGAGGACUUCAGAAAUGGAAAAGUUGACACUGCUUUCAUUCCAAAGCAUGAAGAAGAGUUAGAAGCGCCACAGAAAAAGGUGAUAGAGACCACAGCCAAAGAAUUAACAAGUGCAAGUGCUUAGAUCAGAAGAUGGGUUAGUUUCAACUUUGGUAAUGUUUAGUGCAUUGUGAGGAUUGUUUGAUAUUUUGAUAAUCAAUCAACUCUUUCCUUGGGUGGUGGAA